GUGUCAGCAGCCGCGGUAAGACGAACCGUGCGAACGUUGUUCGGAAUCACUGGGCUUAAAGGGCGCGUAGGCGGACUUGCAAGUCAGGGGUGAAAGCCCCCGGCCCAACCGGGGAAGUGCCUCUGAUACUGUGGGUCUCGAGCGGGAUAGGGGCAGCUGGAACUUCCGGUGGAGCGGUGAAAUGCGUAGAUAUCGGAAGGAACGCCGGUGGCGAAAGCGAGCUGCUGGAUCCCUCCUGACGCUGAUGCGCGAAAGCCAGGGGAGCGAACGGGAUUAGAAACCCUUGUAGUCC
RNAcentral lists this ribosomal RNA (292 nucleotides) under uncultured bacterium. Its description in RNAcentral is "partial 16S ribosomal RNA". It matches the Rfam family "Bacterial small subunit ribosomal RNA", at positions 505 to 796 of the family's 1533-position model. The record is from RNAcentral.